Molecule: ribosomal RNA, 474 nt
Filed under: uncultured organism
Description: partial 16S ribosomal RNA
Rfam family: Bacterial small subunit ribosomal RNA
Source: RNAcentral
ACUCCUGCGGGAGGCAGCAGUGGGGAAUUUUGGACAAUGGGCGAAAGCCUGAUCCAGCCAUGCCGCGUGCAGGAUGAAGGCCUUCGGGUUGUAAACUGCUUUUGUACGGAACGAAACGGCCUUUUCUAAUAAAGAGGGCUAAUGACGGUACCGUAAGAAUAAGCACCGGCUAACUACGUGCCAGCAGCCGCGGUAAUACGUAGGGUGCAAGCGUUAAUCGGAAUUACUGGGCGUAAAGCGUGCGCAGGCGGUUAUGUAAGACAGUUGUGAAAUCCCCGGGCUCAACCUGGGAACUGCAUCUGUGACUGCAUAGCUAGAGUACGGUAGAGGGGGAUGGAAUUCCGCGUGUAGCAGUGAAAUGCGUAGAUAUGCGGAGGAACACCGAUGGCGAAGGCAAUCCCCUGGACCUGUACUGACGCUCAUGCACGAAAGCGUGGGGAGCAAACAGGAUUAGAAACCCUAGUAGUCCCAUGA